GCAUGGUGGGGGGUACAGUCGCGCGUUAACCACCAGCGGAGCAACGUAGGAAGAGUACCCGCAAAGAAAGAGAAAAACUUUGUCAGAAUGAUUCAACCAGAAUAUUGAAUUUAACUACAUAGUUCUACGUUUCAUUUAGCUGCUUAUUUGCAUUGUCUGACGGUACAGAGCACAUGACAUGCAAAAAUAUGCAACGUGUGCAAAAAACGCCGAAUAAAUUCAUGCCCGUUCUAAAAAUAGGCAGAACAGUGAUAUAGUAUCUUAUUUGAAUGAUCGUUUCAGCCCAUUACUUGUACAAAUGUUAUCCCAUUACUUGUACAAAUGACGAUAAGAUAAUCGGUGUAUUGUAAAUGUAAUACACAAUUAAUUGUUCAGGUGGCAAGAAUUAAAGACAAGAAAGAACGGACAAGAUUAAGAUAAUAAAUUUCGUAUCGUACCGAAAAGUGAAUUUUAUCAGAUGACGAUAAAGAAAGAAAUUUCCCUCAAGAUCUUCCCGAAGAUUUCUUCAAGGCUGAUGAUACGUCAACGUAUGUUUUUCGCACAAUGUAGUGUCGUGCUCGGUAUCAAGUCAAAUCCAAUCACUCGAAACGGAGGAGAGACAAAGUAAUACCGAAAUAUUAUAGUGUGAAAAAUCACAGAGAUUGCUCUUCUCUUUUUUCGAAAGUUCGACUCCUCUUCGAAAUUUUAUUUCAAAUCCAGCUGAUUCGACCAUCGACGAAAUUGUUGAAAAAAGAAGAAGGGAAGCGACGCAUUGACAAAUCAAGCGGCACGUUUCAAGCGCAUGGCGAACUGAAGGUUGCUUACAACAAAGUUUAUAAACGAACGGGUCACCUCGAUAACCCCGCGAGAAUUGCCGCCACAUUGAUUAUACGGCGUACGGUUCUCCAAGAUGUCUCUCGCAGCUAAUUGGCUUUGCACCUUUCAUCGCCACGCAAAAUAACAAAUGACGAAAAUUAUUUUUUGCACACCGUGACGACCCUAUAAACACAAACCCAAUCUGAACUCUGGGCUCCGAGUAUCUUCUUUUUAAAAUAGAAAAAUUAAAGCACAUUUCUUUUAAACGUGUGACCUGCAACUCUGCUCUAUCGUUGUUUUUCCUUUCAGCUAGAUAAAGGGAAUAAUCGAUAGAAAAAGAAGUUAUUGACACAAUUAGUCGAAACGUAUCUGGAUUAUUAGGAUUACGGGGCGAUAAACCUCAUUGUUAAGCGUUAUCGUUGCUAACAAUCAUCAAAUAACAAGCGGGAAAUUUUAUUAUUGUUCGCGAGAUACUGUGAUGUAACACAUGUUCGUUACAGCUAUUUCUAUAUCAGGGCGUGUGUGUCUUUAAAAUAGAAUUGAAUUACAAAUUGAGCGUAAUUUUUUACCUAUUGUCAGUCGUUAUAUUUAGAGUGUCUCUAUCAGUCGAAUCCUUCGAGUCGAGCAUGGGGGAUUGAUCGAUUUCAAAAAAGAAGUAAUACUAACACAAAGUAGGAAAACUUCCAUACAAAAUAAUCACGAGGCU
Long non-coding RNA from Frieseomelitta varia, 1501 nucleotides. RefSeq lists it as uncharacterized. The record is from RefSeq and is a predicted model, not a curated record. The transcript has 4 exons. Lineage: Eukaryota; Metazoa; Arthropoda; Insecta; Hymenoptera; Apidae.